CACAGCCAUCCUUCCCACCGCCAGGCCCAGGAGGUUGGGGGAGACUAACCUGGCAAGGAGCCCCCAAUGAGCCACCUCUCCUCACCCCCCAAAAAACAUAAGGGGGAGCGCAAAGGCCACAGUCUCCCCCAUGGUUCAGAAAGGGGUAGCUCCUCCCGGGACAAGGACCGAAGUGCGACGGUCAGUAGUUCAGUGCCCAUGCCUGCUGGAGGGAAGGGAAGCCAUCCUUCAUCUACACCCCAGAGGGUCCCCAACCGCCUGAUCCACGAGAAGUCACCAUACCUCCUACAACAUGCCUACAAUCCUGUGGACUGGUACCCCUGGGGACAGGAAGCCUUCGACAAGGCCAGGAAGGAAAACAAGCCGAUUUUCCUCUCAGUCGGGUACUCCACCUGCCACUGGUGCCACAUGAUGGAAGAGGAGUCCUUCCAGAAUGAGGAGAUCGGCCGCCUGCUCAGUGAGGACUUUGUGAGUGUGAAGGUAGACCGUGAGGAGCGGCCUGACGUGGACAAGGUGUACAUGAUGUUCGUGCAGGUGAGCAGCCCUCCUCGGGAGUGUAUGCGCCACAUGGGCUCAGAGCAGCUCCCCUCACCCUCGCCCUCUCUCCGCCAGGCCACCAGCAGCGGCGGGGGCUGGCCCAUGAAUGUGUGGCUGACUCCCAACCUCCAGCCCUUUGUCGGGGGCACCUAUUUCCCUCCUGAGGAUGGCUUGACCCGAGUCGGCUUCCGCACAGUGUUGCUGAGAAUACGAGAACAGUGGAAACAGAACAAGAACACCCUGCUAGAAAAUAGCCAGCGUGUCACCACUGCCCUGCUGGCCCGAUCAGAGAUCAGCGUGGGUGACCGCCAGCUGCCGCCCUCUGCCGCCACCGUGAACAAUCGCUGCUUCCAGCAGCUGGACGAGGGCUAUGAUGAGGAAUACGGUGGCUUCGCUGAGGCCCCCAAGUUUCCCACGCCGGUGAUCCUGAGCUUCCUGUUCUCCUACUGGCUCAGCCAUCGACUGACUCAGGAUGGCUCUCGGGCCCAGCAGAUGGCCUUGCAUACCCUGAAAAUGAUGGCUAACGGGGGCAUCCGGGACCAUGUGGGGCAGGUGACGGGCACUGGGUGUUCCCUGGAGGGGCAGCAGGGGGCUGUGGGGUGGGGCAGAAGCUGGGACUGGCCUCCAGCUUUGUAUCCGCACAGGGCUUUCACCGCUACUCCACAGACCGCCAGUGGCACGUCCCUCACUUUGAGAAGAUGCUCUAUGACCAGGCACAGCUCGCUGUGGCCUAUUCGCAGGCCUUCCAGCUCUCUGGUGAUGAAUUCUACUCUGACGUGGCCAAAGGCAUCCUGCAGUAUGUGGCUCGGAGCCUGAGCCACCGGUCCGGAGGCUUCUAUAGCGCAGAGGAUGCAGACUCGCCCCCAGAGCGGGGCCUGCGGCCCAAAGAGGGCGCCUACUAUGUGUGGACGGUCAAAGA
RNAcentral lists this small RNA (1456 nucleotides) under Pan troglodytes (chimpanzee). RNAcentral describes it as "retained intron". The record is from RNAcentral. Lineage: Eukaryota; Metazoa; Chordata; Mammalia; Primates; Hominidae.